UGCUUCUGCCUCCAUUUUGUAUUUAUCGUUGGAAAUCUAUUUGGAGGGCAGAAUUUUUUUGGAUUUAGUUUACUCGGUUUUCUACGAAAUAGCUCUCCUAUUUACAGACAAUUGUGCAGAGAAAUAUUACUUGAAUGUGCAACAUGAUCCUCAUAAUUAAGAGCUUCUACUUGUAUGGUAUUUCGAUGAGAAUCUCUCCAUUGUUCUCUACUUCAAAUAUCAAAUU
Long non-coding RNA from Arabidopsis thaliana (thale cress), 226 nucleotides. RefSeq annotates it as other RNA. Lineage: Eukaryota; Viridiplantae; Streptophyta; Magnoliopsida; Brassicales; Brassicaceae. The transcript has a single exon. The record is from RefSeq.